RNAcentral lists this ribosomal RNA (468 nucleotides) under uncultured bacterium. Its description in RNAcentral is "partial 16S ribosomal RNA". It matches the Rfam family "Bacterial small subunit ribosomal RNA", at positions 28 to 507 of the family's 1533-position model. The record is from RNAcentral.
GACGAACGCUGGCGGCGUGCUUAACACAUGCAAGUCGAACGGACAGGCCCGGCUGUUGUGCGGUCGUCGAGUGGCGAACGGGGGAGUAACACGUGUGUACCCUGUCCCUCCCUUAGGGAGAAAUUAAUGAAACUGGGGCUCUUACCGGGUAGGAUCUCUUGCUGCAGGGUGGGCGUUCGUUAGUUUCGGCGGUUGGGGGUGGACUGGCGGCCUACGUGCUUGUUGGGGGGGUAGUGGCAGACCAAGGUUUUGAAGGGUAGCCGGCCUGGGAGGGUGACCGGCCACAAUGGGACUGCGAUACGGCCCAGACUCCUAUGGUACGCAGCGGUGGGGAAUAUUGCACAAUGGGCGGAAGCCUGAUGUGACAACGCCGCGUGCGGGAAGAGGGGCUUCGGGUUGUAAACUACUGUCGCCUGAGACGAGGCGUUAGUGACGGUAAUGAGUGAAGAAGCACCGGCUAACUACGUG